Molecule: ribosomal RNA, 374 nt
Filed under: uncultured organism
Description: partial 16S ribosomal RNA
Rfam family: Bacterial small subunit ribosomal RNA
Source: RNAcentral
GUAGGUGGCAAGCGUUGUCCGGGAAUUAUUGGGCGUAAAGCGCGCGCAGGCGGUCCUUUAAGUCUGAUGUGAAAGCCCACGGGCUCAACCGUGAGGGUCAUUGGAAACUGGGGGACUUGAGUACAGAAGAGGAAAGCGGAAUUCCAAGUGUAGCGGUGAAAUGCGUAGAGAUUUGGAGGAACACCAGUGGCGAAGGCGGCUUUCUGGUCUGUAACUGACGCUGAGGCGCGAAAGCGUGGGGAGCAAACAGGAUUAGAUACCCUGGUAGUCCACGCCGUAAACGAUGAGUGCUAAGUGUUAGGGGGUUUCCGCCCCUUAGUGCUGCAGCUAACGCAUUAAGCACUCCGCCUGGGGAGUACGGCCGCAAAGGCUGA